Leclercia adecarboxylata is the source of this 344-nucleotide non-coding RNA. The record is from Rfam. NCBI's taxonomy places the organism in Bacteria, Pseudomonadati, Pseudomonadota, Gammaproteobacteria, Enterobacterales, Enterobacteriaceae.
UUUGGCAACAUCUACUUGCUGUAUCUGUUCGUAGAGUUUGCCCACCGCUUCGCGAAUGGUGGGGUGCCAGUUAACGGCACGUGUCACCGCAUCGCCCAGGGUUAAGGUGCCGGGCGCGGCCUGGCUUGUCGGCAAUGCAACCCGUCCAUUCAGAGAGGGCAGCUCCUGAUUUUCAUUUAAUUGCCCAAAACUAAUGACCGCAGGGGAGUCGGCGGCCAGGACCUGCCCGGACAACAGGCAGCACCCCAGCCACCAGCAAGGUACUUUGUUCAUGGCAUUAUCCCUAAAAAACUGAACAACUUUAUAAUGUUAAGCCCGGGCGACGUGCGCCCGGGUCUUGUUAU